This 407-nucleotide ribosomal RNA is filed under the name uncultured bacterium. Its description in RNAcentral is "bacterial SSU rRNA". It matches the Rfam family "Bacterial small subunit ribosomal RNA", at positions 356 to 773 of the family's 1533-position model. The record is from RNAcentral.
GGGGAAUCUUGCGCAAUGGGCGAAAGCCUGACGCAGCAACGCCGCGUGGGGGAUGACGGCCUUCGGGUUGUAAACCUCUUUCGACAGGGACGAAGCUUUCGGGUGACGGUACCUGUAGAAGAAGCACCGGCUAACUACGUGCCAGCAGCCGCGGUAAUACGUAGGGUGCGAGCGUUGUCCGGAUUUAUUGGGCGUAAAGAGCUCGUAGGCGGUUUGUCGCGUCGGCCGUGAAAACCUGCAGCUUAACUGUGGGCGUGCGGUCGAUACGGGCAGACUUGAGUUCGGCAGGGGAGACUGGAAUUCCUGGUGUAGCGGUGAAAUGCGCAGAUAUCAGGAGGAACACCGGUGGCGAAGGCGGGCCUCUGGGCCGAUACUGACGCUGAGGAGCGAAAGCAUGGGGAGCGAAC